CAUUAAGUGACUGAAAGUAAGUAAUGGUCUCUUAAACCAGUAUAUGGUAAUUAACACUCACCCUUAAUG
RNAcentral lists this transfer RNA (69 nucleotides) under Triatoma sanguisuga (bloodsucking conenose). RNAcentral's name for it is "tRNA-Lys". Lineage: Eukaryota; Metazoa; Arthropoda; Insecta; Hemiptera; Reduviidae. The record is from RNAcentral.